Molecule: ribosomal RNA, 393 nt
Filed under: uncultured bacterium
Lineage: Bacteria
Description: partial 16S ribosomal RNA
Rfam family: Bacterial small subunit ribosomal RNA
Source: RNAcentral
AUACGGAGGACGCGAGCGUUAUCCGGAUUCAUUGGGUUUAAAGGGUGCGCAGGUGGCCGUGCAAGUCAGCAGUGAAAGCCCGGGGCUCAACCCCGGAAGUGCCGUUGAUACUGCGUGGCUGGAAUGCGGUCGAGGCGGGCGGAACGUGGCGGGUAGCGGGGAAAGGAAUAGAUAUGCCACAGAACGCCGAUAGCGGAGGCAGCUCGCCAGGCCUGCAUUGACGCUCGGGCACGAAAGCGUGGGGAUCGAACAGGAUUAGAUACCCUGGUAGUCCACGCCGUAAACGAUGGGCGCUCGUCGUCGGCGACAGACAGUCGGCGGCCAAGCGAAAGCGAUAAGCGCCCCACCUGGGGAGUACGGUCGCAAGGCUAAAACUCAAAGGAAUUGACGGGG